CCUACGGGAGACAGCAGUGAGGAAUAUUGGUCAAUGGACGAGAGUCUGAACCAGCCAAGUAGCGUGAAGGAUGACUGCCCUAUGGGUUGUAAACUUCUUUUAUAUGGGAAUAAAACAGGGUAUGCAUACCCUCUUGUAUGUACCAUAUGAAUAAGGAUCGGCUAACUCCGUGCCAGCAGCCGCGGUAAUACGGAGGAUCCGAGCGUUAUCCGGAUUUCUUGGGUUUAAAGGGAGCGUAGGUGGAUUGUUAAGUCAGUUGUGGAAGUUUGCGGCUCAACCGUAAAAUUGCAGUUGAAACUGGCAGUCUUGAGUACAGUAGAGGUGGGCGGAAUUCGUGGUGUAGCGGUGAAAUGCUUAGAUAUCACGAAGAACUCCGAUUGCGAAGGCAGCUCACUGGACUGCAACUGACACUGAUGCUCGAAAGUGUGGGUAUCAAACAGGAUUAGAUACCCCUGGUAGUC
Molecule: ribosomal RNA, 461 nt
Filed under: uncultured bacterium
Lineage: Bacteria
Description: partial 16S ribosomal RNA
Rfam family: Bacterial small subunit ribosomal RNA
Source: RNAcentral